RNAcentral lists this ribosomal RNA (253 nucleotides) under uncultured bacterium. RNAcentral describes it as "partial 16S ribosomal RNA". It matches the Rfam family "Bacterial small subunit ribosomal RNA", at positions 524 to 776 of the family's 1533-position model. The record is from RNAcentral.
GACAGAGGGUGCAAACGUUGCUCGGAAUUACUGGGCGUAAAGCGCGUGUAGGCGGACAAGCAAGUCAGGUGUGAAAUCCCUGGGCUCAACCCAGGAACUGCAUUUGAAACUGCAUGUCUAGAGUGUCGGAGAGGGAAGCGGAAUUCCUGGUGUAGAGGUGAAAUUCGUAGAUAUCAGGAGGAACACCGGUGGCGAAGGCGGCUUCCUGGACGAUUACUGACGCUGAGACGCGAAAGCGUGGGGAGCAAACAGG